Molecule: transfer RNA, 66 nt
Filed under: Hydraena gracilis
Lineage: Eukaryota; Metazoa; Arthropoda; Insecta; Coleoptera; Hydraenidae
Description: tRNA-Asn
Source: RNAcentral
UUAAUUGAAACCAAAAUAGAGGUAUAUUACUGUUAAUAAUAUUAUUAAGUUUAUUCUUCAAUUAAA